RNAcentral lists this ribosomal RNA (466 nucleotides) under uncultured Sphingobacteriales bacterium. RNAcentral describes it as "bacterial SSU rRNA". It matches the Rfam family "Bacterial small subunit ribosomal RNA", at positions 918 to 1380 of the family's 1533-position model. The record is from RNAcentral. Lineage: Bacteria; Pseudomonadati; Bacteroidota; Sphingobacteriia; Sphingobacteriales.
GACGGGCCGCACAAGCGGAGGAGCAUGUGGUUAAUUCGAUGAUACGCGAGGAACCUUACCUGGGCUCGAACGUAAGAUGACUGUAGGUGAAAGCUUACAUCUCUUCGGAGCAUUUUACGAGGUGCUGCAUGGUUGUCGUCAGCUCGUGCCGUGAGGUGUCGGGUUAAGUCCCAUAACGAGCGCAACCCCUACCUUUAGUUGCCAUCAGGUAAUGCUGGGGACUCUAAAGGAACUGCCUACGCAAGUAGUGAGGAAGGCGGGGAUGACGUCAAAUCAGCACGGCCCUUACGUCCAGGGCUACACACGUGCUACAAUGGCCGAUACAGAGGGCAGCUACCUGGUGACAGGAUGCAAAUCUCCAAAGUCGGUCUCAGUUCGGAUCGGAGUCUGCAACCCGACUCCGUGAAGUUGGAUUCGCUAGUAAUCGCGCAUCAGCCAUGGCGCGGUGAAUACGUUCCCGGGCCUU